GGGGGUAUAGCUCAGUUGGUAGAGUGUUUGCCUAGUAUGCACAAGGCCCUGGGUUCAAUCCCCAGUACCACCA
Molecule: transfer RNA, 73 nt
Filed under: Ictidomys tridecemlineatus (thirteen-lined ground squirrel)
Lineage: Eukaryota; Metazoa; Chordata; Mammalia; Rodentia; Sciuridae
Description: tRNA-Thr (AGT) (tRNA-Thr-AGT-8-1)
Rfam family: tRNA
About the family: Transfer RNA (tRNA) molecules are approximately 80 nucleotides in length. Their secondary structure includes four short double-helical elements and three loops (D, anti-codon, and T loops). Further hydrogen bonds mediate the characteristic L-shaped molecular structure. tRNAs have two regions of fundamental functional importance: the anti-codon, which is responsible for specific mRNA codon recognition, and the 3' end, to which the tRNAs corresponding amino acid is attached (by aminoacyl-tRNA synthetases). tRNAs cope with the degeneracy of the genetic code in two manners: having more than one tRNA (with a specific anti-codon) for a particular amino acid; and 'wobble' base-pairing, i.e. permitting non-standard base-pairing at the 3rd anti-codon position.
Source: Rfam by way of RNAcentral